UCUCCGUUGGUGAACCAGCGGAGGGAUCAUUACUGAAUGUACCUCCAAAACCCACUAUGCACCUUACCGCUUUUCGCGUAGUCUCUUCGGUAGGCGGUGGGCCCCGCCCGCCCCUAGGGGGCCCUGCCGCCCCCGCCCCCCCCGGCGGCGCCAAACUCUAAAGUUAUAGCGGAUCUUACGUUCGGAUUUACAAAAAAAACAAUUAAAAACUUUCAACAACGGACCCUUUGUUUCUGGCAUCGAUGAAAAAGGCAGCAGAUCGGAAGAGCAACGGAC
RNAcentral lists this unclassified non-coding RNA (276 nucleotides) under plant metagenome. RNAcentral describes it as "partial contains small subunit ribosomal RNA, internal transcribed spacer 1, and 5.8S ribosomal RNA". The record is from RNAcentral.